Seriola dumerili (greater amberjack) is the source of this 251-nucleotide long non-coding RNA. RefSeq lists it as uncharacterized. Lineage: Eukaryota; Metazoa; Chordata; Actinopteri; Carangiformes; Carangidae. The record is from RefSeq and is a predicted model, not a curated record. The transcript has 3 exons.
UGUGCAUUGGGGUAACAUUCAUAAGGAGCCUUUAAAAUAAAUCUAAAGAACAUUAUUAAUAAAGUUAGAAUAUUGCUUGGGGUUAAAGAGUAGACACAAUGGGUUUUGGACCAGUCUUAUCAAGUUUGCUGAUACUUACAGUGGCCAUUGAGCUUGCUACUACACCAGCGGCUGCACAAACUGGUUUAUCAACCACAACUGGAGGUUCAACAACAACUGGUGCAUCAACCACAACUGGAGGUUCAACAACA